RNAcentral lists this ribosomal RNA (230 nucleotides) under uncultured bacterium. RNAcentral describes it as "partial 16S ribosomal RNA". It matches the Rfam family "Bacterial small subunit ribosomal RNA", at positions 524 to 753 of the family's 1533-position model. The record is from RNAcentral.
UACGUAGGGUGCAAGCGUUAAUCGGAAUUACUGGGCGUAAAGCGUGCGCAGGCGGUUUUGUAAGCCAGAUGUGAAAUCCCCGGGCUUAACCUGGGAAUGGCAUUUGGGACUGCAAGGCUCGAGUGCGGCAGAGGAGACUGGAAUUCCUGGUGUAGCAGUGAAAUGCGUAGAUAUCAGGAGGAACACCGAUGGCGAAGGCAGGUCUCUGGGCUGACACUGACGCUCAUGCA